RNAcentral lists this small nuclear RNA (176 nucleotides) under Pogona vitticeps (central bearded dragon). RNAcentral's name for it is "U1 spliceosomal RNA (ENSPVIG00000008784.1)". It matches the Rfam family "U1 spliceosomal RNA". Rfam says of the family: U1 is a small nuclear RNA (snRNA) component of the spliceosome (involved in pre-mRNA splicing). Its 5' end forms complementary base pairs with the 5' splice junction, thus defining the 5' donor site of an intron. Lineage: Eukaryota; Metazoa; Chordata; Lepidosauria; Squamata; Agamidae. The record is from RNAcentral.
ACGCAUACCUUGCAGGAGAAAUACUGUACCAUGGUCAUGAAAGUGUUUUUUCCAGGGUAAGGCUCAUCCAUUGCACUUUGGGUGUGCUGAUCCGUAUGAUUUCCCCAAAUGUGGGGCACUCAAUUGCAUAAUUUGUGUUAAUGGGGGGGGGGAGACUGCAUUUGUGAUUUCCCUGG